GAUGAACGCUGGCGGCGUGCCUAAAAAAUGAAAGUCGAGCGAAAAGUUGAGGACUUUGCUCCCCUGACGUUAGCGGGGGACGGGUGAGUAACCCGUGGAAAACCAACUUUUAAGACUGGGAUAACUCCGGAAAACGGGAGCAAAUACCGGAAAAAUAAUUAAACCCCAUGGUUAAUUAGUAAAAGCCGUUUUUGUGGCCCCUUAUAGUGGAUUCCGCGCCGCAUUAGCUAGUUGGCAAGGUAACGGCUUACCAAGGCAACGAUGCGUAGCCGACCUGAGAGGGUGAUCGGCCACACUGGAACUGAGACACGGUCCAGACUCCUACGGGAGGCAGCAGUAGGGAAUCUUCCGCAAUGGGCGAAAGCCUGACGGAGCAACGCCGCGUGAGUGAUGAAGGUCUUCGGAUCGUAAAACUCUGUUAUUAGGGAAGAACAAAUGUGUAAGUAACUAUGCACGUCUUGACGGUACCUAAUCAGAAAGCCACGGCUAACUACGUG
This 497-nucleotide ribosomal RNA is filed under the name uncultured bacterium. Its description in RNAcentral is "partial 16S ribosomal RNA". It matches the Rfam family "Bacterial small subunit ribosomal RNA", at positions 28 to 507 of the family's 1533-position model. The record is from RNAcentral.